AUUGAACGCUGGCGGCAGGCUUAACACAUGCAAGUCGAGCGGGGUGAUGGUGCUUGCACUAUCACUUAGCGGCGGACGGGUGAGUAAUGCUUAGGAAUCUGCCUAUUAGUGGGGGUCAACAUCUCGAAAGGGAUGCUAAUACCGCAUACGUCCUACGGGAGAAAGAAGGGGAUCACUUGUGACCUUGCGCUAAUAGAUGAGCCUAAGUCGGAUUAGCUAGUUGGUUGGGUAAAGGCCUACCAAGGCGACGAUCUGUAGCGGGUCUGAGAGGAUGAUCCGCCACACUGGGACUGAGACACGGCCCAGACUCCUACAGGAGGCAGCAGUGGGGAAUAUUGGACAAUGGGGGGAACCCUGAUCCAGCCAUGCCGCGUGUGUGAAGAAGGCCUUAUGGUUGUAAAGCACUUUAAGCGAGGAGGAGGCUCUUUUGGUUAAUACCCAAGAUGAGUGGACGUUACUCGCAGAAUAAGCACCGGCUAACUCUGUGCCAGCCGCCGCCGUAA
RNAcentral lists this ribosomal RNA (503 nucleotides) under uncultured bacterium. RNAcentral's name for it is "partial 16S ribosomal RNA". It matches the Rfam family "Bacterial small subunit ribosomal RNA", at positions 30 to 523 of the family's 1533-position model. The record is from RNAcentral.